UGUUCGAGCGUCAUUAUGACCAAUCAAGCUCUGCUUGGUCUUGGGGCCCGCUGUACCGGCGGCUCUUAAAAUCAGUGGCGGUGCCGUCUGGCUCUAAGCGUAGUAAUACUUCUCGCUAUAGGGUCUAGUCGUCCACCCGCCAGAACCCCCAACUUUCUUAGGUUGACCUCGGAUCAGGUAGGGAUACCCGCUGAACUUAA
Molecule: unclassified non-coding RNA, 200 nt
Filed under: soil metagenome
Description: partial contains internal transcribed spacer 2 and large subunit ribosomal RNA
Source: RNAcentral